This 460-nucleotide ribosomal RNA is filed under the name uncultured bacterium. RNAcentral's name for it is "partial 16S ribosomal RNA". It matches the Rfam family "Bacterial small subunit ribosomal RNA", at positions 338 to 795 of the family's 1533-position model. The record is from RNAcentral.
CCUACGGGAGGCAGCAGUGAGGAAUAUUGGUCAAUGGGCGCGAGCCUGAACCAGCCAAGUAGCGUGAAGGAUGACUGCCCUACGGGUUGUAAACCUCUUUUAUAAAGGAAUAAAGUGAGGCACGUGUGCCUUUUUGUAUGUACUUUAUGAAGAAGGAUCGGCUAACUCCGUGCCAGCAGCCGCGGUAAUACGGAGGAUCCGAGCGUUAUCCGGAUUUAUUGGGUUUAAAGGGAGCGUAGAUGGGUUGUUAAGUCAGUUGUGAAAGUUUGCGGCUCAACCGUAAAAUUGCAAUUGAUACUGGCAGACUUGAGUACAGUAGAGGUAGGCGGAAUUCGUGGUGUAGCGGUGAAAUGCUUAGAUAUCACGAAGAACACCGGUGGCGAAGGCAGCUUACUAGACUGCCACUGACGUUGAUGCUCGAAAGUGUGGGUAUCAAACAGGAUUAGAUACCCGUGUAGUC